RNAcentral lists this long non-coding RNA (695 nucleotides) under Homo sapiens (human). RNAcentral's name for it is "HOXD antisense growth-associated long non-coding RNA". Lineage: Eukaryota; Metazoa; Chordata; Mammalia; Primates; Hominidae. The record is from RNAcentral.
GCCCCGCAGCCAAGUUAGCCAAAGCAGCCCAGGGCCGCCGCCCAGCGCCCCCGAGCCCCGAGGAGAGCCGUCGCGACCGGGGGCUGCCUGGGCAAGGGCGGGGCGAGAGGGCAGAACGCCUGCUCUCGGACAGGGUGUUCUUAAAAUACACCGGAAAGAACGGAGGUAAAAAUACUGGAGUGUUUCCUCCACACUGGAAAGAGGGCAGCGCUGUGAACAAUGGAGCCAUCAAAAAGGCCUUCUCCCAGCCUCCUCACCAACCACGGACAUUCCUGGCCCAACAAGACCUCCUGGCCAGGUUUUGAGCCCUGCUUCCCAGAUCUGGGGACCCUUCACCUGCCUCUACUACUGCAAAUGAUUGGAUAUUCGUCUGACUUGGCUCUUCCCUAAUGUGUGGAACUAAUUUUGUUCACUCUGUUUCAUGCUGGACCUGGCCUGAAAAUGGGCCCUUAUAUUGUCUUUGCACUUUCCAACUUGCCAAGUUUCUGAAAGAAGGACCAAAGUAAUGCCAAGAACUCCCAGAUGAAGAGGACCUUCCUUAGACCUAUAACAGAUUCACUACUUGACUUCAGAGGGAAGUUUCAGCUAAUUCUCAGGAAAAGGUCAAAACAGGCCUGUGACUGUCCCUUGAAUACUGAAGGUAUAAACAAGCUUCUGGCUCCUCCAGGUCAAGCAGAGGAACACUUUUAUUAGAA